CCACAGCACUAGCCAAUCGAUCCACAAUAAUCCUCUCUUCCCAGACCUUGAAGAAGCUUCAACAACUGGCCAUGGCUGCCAAAACCCCAAGCUCGUGGUGCUUUAGUUUCCUAAAGGAAGCUCUGAUCCUCCCCACGCGAAACCCUAAGCUCUUCACGCCGGUGUUCCUUGUGUUGGCCGUCGCCACCUUCCUUGCCCGCUCAGUCCAUGUCGUGUUCAUCCAGCCUCUCGUCGACGACAUGGUCAGGUCCAUCUAUCUCAUCGAGAUGAGGAACACCGGCUUCUCCUGCGGAGAGGGUGCCAAGCUCGAAGAGGGCGCCAUAAAGAUCAUGCUAAUCUCCAUCGCCCAAGUGAUCCUCAUGCUGGCGCUUGGCUUCGUCAAGAAGGCUCUCGCCUUCUUCGCGGCCUCCACGACCUACUCCGGCGACCGCUACUCGCUGGCCGAGCUCGUCCGCAAGGUGAUCUGCAAGGGGAACACCCUGAAGGGCCCUGCUAUCACCUUCGCCGUGGUCACCGCGCUCGACCUGGCGUGGACGGCCGUACUGGUCGCCAUGCGUGCUGGUACUGCCGUGAUGAUGCGCGGUGGGCAGUCGCGGGUCCUCUCCGUCCAGGGCCUCGUCUUCCUCCUCACGCUCCUCGCCGAGCUAUGCUUCGCCGUCCUCGCGCUGGUGAGCGUUGCCGCGUCGGUGGUCGACGGGGAGCGCCGCGGCGUGCGCGCGCUCAGGCAGGCGUGGCGGCUCAUGACGCGGGUGAGGAGGAAGGAGGGCCUCCUGCUGGUGCUCCUGACGUAUCUCCUGCCCACCGUCGUGGCUCCGGUGUACCGGGCUGCUCUUGUGUACUCGAGGAGGAGCAUGGCGGCGGGCCUGUGCGUGCUCGCUGGGUAUGCUUUUAUGUUCGGUGCGCUGCAGCUGGUCUAUCUGGCGGCGGCCACGGUGUUCUACUACGAAGCCAUGGAGAGGAAGGAGGUGGUGCCUUGUGACCAGGGGCGAUUUUACCGUACGGGCACCCUGGGCACGUGCCCGGGCUCGACGGCGCGUUUAGAUGAACUCCAGCGAGCUAUCCAAGCCGCCAGAAUCGUUUAACAUGUUGAAAUACGCUGGAAAAUCGCGAAAUAACGUUGGAAACAAACGAACUGCGCUAUCCUUGCCUUCUGGGCCUUUCUCGCUACAACCAGGAGCCAUAGGCCCAUUCACAUGUUUCGUAACAUGGGCUAGCUCGCAGCAGCCGUAAGAGAAGCCAGCUCCUGAAACACGAUUCAGAAUCGAUCGAUUGAGGAAGCAAAUCUUGUUAGACGAGGGACUUGCGAUUCGCCAGAUGGUAUGGAACUGACGCUCCGCGGCACGCACGCUGCCCUAGCUACCUAUCGAUCUCGGAGGUGUACUGGCCGCCGGCGGAGUGCGGAGAGCGAGCAGGCGAUAGGCCGACAAGAUAUAUGGUGAGCGGCGGGGCCUCGACUCCGGCCGGUGACAGUCAUGAUCGAAAGCGCGUGCACGUGGGCCAAAACGGCGACUCCCCCACGAGAAUUAGACUCCUGCUCCGACGAGCACGCGGCCGCUAGAAGAAUUCACAAGUGGAUCACGGCAAAGUCUACAUCAACAGAAUGAACAUGAACAUAAACAUUGGAGAUUGGAGUUUUCUCAUAUAAGCGUCGAAAGGUAUUCGGGAAUUAUUUGGUAUUGUAUCUAAUGUUUUUAUUUACUUCUAUGAUAUAUAUUACACAUGAGGUUUUAUCCAAAUAUGAUACUUGUGGUGUUUA
Molecule: non-coding RNA, 1756 nt
Organism: Triticum urartu
Lineage: Eukaryota; Viridiplantae; Streptophyta; Magnoliopsida; Poales; Poaceae
Source: RefSeq, a predicted model, not a curated record